CCCUGUAUGUGUAACAGAAGACUCAACUAUCUUUUAUUUUAUUAUGAUUUUUUAAAAUUUCAACAUUCCUCCCUCUCUUUCCUUCUUCCCUCUCUUCUUUCUUCUCUUCUUCCUCAGUUUCCAGUUCCUCAGCCCAUAGGUCUCCCUUCCCAGAACCAGUCAAUGUCAAAAGAGUCCCAUCUGUGAUUUUAGAUGAUCUGCGCAUAGAUGGCAAAAUCCCUAUGUGUGAAUACCAUUUCUUUCUCUGCGGGGUCAGGUUGUUGUGUCUGAGAGCACAUGAGCACUGUGAUUUAGGCCACAAUCAGGGAAAAGAGGGCAGUCUGCCAUCCGUCCCAUUUCUCCUGAGUUUCUAACACCAUUCCCACCUGCCACCUACUAGCUGCUGCCGUUGUCCUCUCUGCACUCAGGGCCUAUUCCUGGGCACACGUGAUGACAUGGGGACAUCUGUGACGACAUGACUGUGGAUCCCAGGGUGGUCCAUCCCCACUGAUGGAGAAUCCCUCGGUUUCAGGAGGUCCUGAGCUCUGUCUUGAUUUCCUUCUCUGCAGGCAGGAAGCAGGAAGACUGGAAGACAAUUUGGGAUGGUCUCCAGAAAUGUGCCUGCCACAGGUGGCCCUCUGGGGACCCUGCUUCUCCCCCAGGGGCAGCUUUUAGACCACGUUCUGUUGACUCAGUCACCUGGUGCAGAACCACGCACCUGAAAGAUGGCCAAAGGCAUUGUUCCUCAAAUUUGAGCCACACACCGAUCUCCAGGGAACCCUUGUUAAAAGCAGAUUCUCACUCAGUUAAUCUGUGUGGGGCUGACAUCCUGCACUAAUCAUGGUGGGCUCCCAGGUGCUGCUGAUGCCACUGGCCCACACACUGACCCGUUUGGAAUAGCAAGGAAGCACCGUGUUCUCCUUCCAGCCCUGUUCACACUCCAUGCAGUACCAGAUACUGUCUAGAGCCCUACACUGCAUGGAUUCCGGCUCUGUCACCGGGUAGCUGUUAAUUGUGACAUUAUCAUCUUUCCUCUUCCUGACUGUCCAGAGGGUGUGUGGUUUUGUUUUGUUUUGUUUUGUUUUUAGGUGAGAGAACUGCUCAGAAAUGUUAAGUAACGCAGCAGCAGUCACACAGCUAAGGGACACACAGGAACGUCCCAAGUGGCGAAGGUCAUUUUCCAUCACUGCCAUCCUCCACGAGCCUGUGUCUGGAAUGGGACUUGUCUUUGCACUGAUGAACAGGUUGGAUGGAGACUGGAAAACACUAGACAGAGGUAAUAUGGACCCAGAGAGAACUGAAUCCUUGUGCCCAGUGACUAGAAGAUGCAUGAACCUGGAAAAAGGAGCCUAGAAGAUCGCUAUGCUUCCCCCACAUAGGAGAACACCCACCCCUUCCCGCCCCUUGCCCGUAACACAUGAUACAUUUAGCAGUGAUCGAUCACUACUGAGCUAUCUUCAUUUAAUGUGGUUUUGACAGAACAGUUGGUCUGGAAAUUUUAUUUUCAAUUAAACUUCCUUGUUGAA
Molecule: long non-coding RNA, 1505 nt
Organism: Ailuropoda melanoleuca (giant panda)
Lineage: Eukaryota; Metazoa; Chordata; Mammalia; Carnivora; Ursidae
Exons: 2
Source: RefSeq, a predicted model, not a curated record